CACCUCAGACCCUAGUGCUGUCUUUACAACUAGGGGAAGAGUAUCAGAUUUACCAGAGUAAAAUGGAACCUCCUGAGGGAAUACAGGACUGGCUUACUCAAAUUCCUCAAGCCUGGGCUGAAAUGGGGGAAUGGGAAUGGCAAGACAAGCUCCCCUGGUGGUGAUCGAGCUUAAGUCUGGGGCCACUCCCAUUGGGGUCCGACAGUACCCCAUGAGCAAGGAAGCUCAGGAGGGUAUACGCCUCCAUAUCACCAGACUGCUCCAACAAGGGAUCCUAGUCCCCUGCAAGUCUCCUUGGAAUACCCCACUACUCCCAGUAAAGAAACCAGGGAUGAACGACUACCGUCCUGUACAGAACCUCAGAGAGGUAAACAAAAAAGUUCAGGAUAUCCACCCCACAGAGCCCAAUCCUUACAACCUGCUCAGCACGCUGCCACCCGAACGAACCUGGUAUACGGUCUUAGAUCUCAAAGACGCUUUCUUUUGCCUGAGACUACACCCUAACAGCCAGCCCUUGUUUGCUUUUGAAUGGUGAGACCCAGAGAAUGGAAGGACCAGGCAGCUCACAUGGACGAGACUGCCACAGGGGUUCAAGAAUUCCCCCACCUUGUUUGAUGAAGCUCUACAUAGAGAUCUCGCCUCUUUCCAGGCCAACAAUCCCCAGGUGACUCUUUUGCAAUAUGUAGAUGACCUUCUGGUGGCUGCAGAAAUACGCAAAGAGUGUGAACUUGGGACUCAGAGAAUCCUGGCUGAGUUAGGGGAGUUGGGGUACCGAGCUUCAGCUAAAAAGGAACAGUUAUGCUGGACUGAGGUGACUUACCUGGGAUACACCCUGAAGAAUGGACAAUGAUGGCUCACUGAAGCUAGGAAGCAGACAUUGACACAGAUCCCAACCCCAACCACCCCUUGCCAGGUAAGAGAAUUCCUGGGGACUGCGGGAUUCUGUAGACUCUGGAUCCUAGGGUUUGCUAUUUUCAGCCCCAUUAUACCCCCUAACAAAAGAGAAGGGAGAGUUCAUUUGGACUAAGGAACAUCAAUUGGCUUUUGAGACUCAAAAACGCACUGCUACAGGCCCCUGCUUUAGCGCUGCCAGAUUUAAACAAGCCUUUCACCCUAUUCAUCGAUGAGAAAAAUGGAGUAGCCAGAGGGGUCCUCACUCAAACCCUAGGACCCUGGAAGCGUCCGGUAGCCUAUCUGUCAAAGAAACUGGACUCUGUGGCUAUUUGUGGGCAAUAGCAGCCAUAGCUGUGUUGGUGAAAGAUGCUGAUAAACUGAUUAUGGGCCAAAACAUGACAGUGGUGGCCCCACAUGCCCUCAAGAGUAUUAUUCGACAGCUACCAGACCGCUGGAUUACCAACGCCCGUAUGACUCACUACCAGAGCCUGUUGUUGACUGAACGGGUAACCUUUGCUCCACUCGCCAUUCUCAACCCCACUACCUUACUGCCUGAAGCUAACGAAACCCUGGUACACCAAUGUGAAUAGAUACUGGCAGAAGAAACUGGGACUCAGCCAGACUUAACUUACCAACCAUGGCCUGGGGCGCUGACCUGGUUCACCGAUGGAAGCAGCUUCAUGGUAGAAGAUACCUUUUCAGGGUGAACUGAAGCAUUCCCCACCAAGAGGGAAAUGGCUAAUGUGGUGGCCAAGAAGAUACUCGAAGAAAUCUUUUCCUGUUUUGGGGUACCAAAGGUACUUGGGUCAGACAACCGGCCUGCCUUUGUCUCCCAGCCUGGCUGAAGGCCCUCGAAACCGUGAGAAAAGAAAUCUGGGAGCAGUUGAAAGAGACCUACAUUGCCAGCGACUUGCAGGUGUCACAUCAGUUUGAAGUGGGAGACACUGUCCUGUUGAGAAGGCAUCAAGCAGGGAACCUCCAGCCAUGGUGGAAGGGAUCCUACCUGGUGCUAUUGACUACACCCACCGCCGUUAAGGUAGAAGGAAUCCACACUUGGGUUCAUGCUUCACACAUUAAGAAGGCUCCCCCUGAAACUGAUCAAAAUGAGUGGACCCUGAAAAAGACUAAUAAUCCUCUUAAAUUGCGCCUACGUCGCAGCUCAGAACCAAGACCCCAACCCUCAUACCCCAAUUCAGCAAACUUGGGAAGUACUCAAUGAGGAGGGAGACAUUAUAUGGUCGAUCGCCGCAAUACAACCCCCAUGGACUUGGUGGCCCGACCUCACACCUGAUAUUUGCAAGUUGGCAGCAGGGUCACUUCCCUGGGACCUCCCUGACUAUACUGACCUUCAUCAACCACCACCUGAAAAACAGUGCAUCCCGAUCAGGGUAGGAAGCACAUUUGGAUGGUCAGGGCAAUUCUACUCAGCCAAUCUCCGGUCUGUAGGAUUUUAUGUUUGCCCUGGCCAAGGUCAACUGCGAAAGCUUCGGCAUUAGUGUGGAGGGACACCAGACUUUUACUGUGCUGCAUGGGGUUGUAAGACCACAGGUGAAGCUUAUUGGAAUCCUACCUCCACCUGGGACUUGAUCACAGUAAAAAGGGGCAGAAGCUAUGACCCGCCAAACCAAGGUGAGAGAGAGAGUUCUAAAUACCUUGAGAACGGGUGUGCCUGGAUAUUCUCUCCUAAUGGACCUUGCAAAGGUGACUAUUGCAACCCCAUACUUAUAAAAUUUACUGACCAGGGGAAACGAGGGCGCCAGAGCUGGCUUAAGGGAAACAAUUGGGGUUUACAAGUGCACGCAGCAGCAGGAAAAGACCCUAGAUUAAUCCUUAAAAUCAAAUUAACCGUGGAGAGUCCAUCCUCAGUGCCCAUAGGACCUAAAAAGGUCCUUCCAGAACAGGGCCUCCCUGCCAAACCCAAACCCCUGGCUCCGAUAAUUGAGGAGCCCCCCCAAGGUCGUCAUCCCCCCCAGAUUCCCUGACCACAAUCCCCCCAGAUCCCUCGAUGGGACAGAGACUGUUCAAUCUGAUUAGGGGAGCCUUUUAUGCCCUUAACAGCUCAGAUCUGGACACUACUACUAACUGCUGGUUAUGCCUAUCCUCAGGCCCUCCCUACUAUGAAGGGGUUGCUUUUAAUGGAGAUUUUAAUAAAACCAGUAGUCAUGCCUCCUGCUCAUGGGGAACAGGAAAGAAAUUAACCCUGACUGAAGUGUCAGGGAGGAGCCCUGGUCUCUGCAUAGGGACACCUCUUCCUUCCCACCAACACAUAUGUGGUUGGACUCAUUCUGUAUCCAGGACAAAUACCAGCUAUUACCUUGUGCCAUAUCCAGUCGGUUGGUGGGCCUGUAACACCGGGCUCACCCCAUGUGUAUCAACUAGUGUCUUUGACCCCUCUCGUGAUUUCUGUGUUAUGGUUCAGCUUCUACCUCGCAUGUAUUAUUAUCCUGCUUCCCGCCUGGAAGAUGUAUAUAUCAGUAAGAGGUUGAAAAGAGAUCCAGGCUCCAUUACCCUAGCUAUGUUGAUGGGGGUCGGUCUUACAGCAGGAGUAGGAAUGGGUGUAGCAGCCUUGAUUGAGGGUAGACAAGGAAUUCAGUCCUUAAGAGAAGCUAUAAAUGAAGAUUUAAACAUGCUAGAAAAAUCUAUUGAUGCAUUAGAGAAAUCCUUGAUCUCCCUGUCAUAAGUAGUAUUACAAAACAGAAGAGGUUUAGAUUUAUUGUUUUUAAGGGAAGGUGGACUAUGUGAAGUCCAUAUGGGAGUAGUCAGAGAUUCUAUGCAGAAAUUAAGGGAAAGACUGGAAAGAAGAAAGCAAGAUCGAGAAGUUCAACAGGGAUGGUUUGAGUCAUGGUACUCUAAAUCUCCCUGGAUGACCACUUUACUUUCUGCUUUAGCCGGACCAAUUCUUACUAUAUGUUUGGUUUUGAUCUUCGGCCCCUGCUUAAUAAAUAAGGGAAUUGCUUUUGUUAAGAGUAGAGUGAAUGCAGUGUAGCUUAUGGUGCUCCAAAAUCAAUAUCAACCUAUAGUGAAGAUAGAGAAGAAUAUGAUUCCUACCCACCACAUGAGGAUACAGACCUUUAAAAUUCUAAGAUUAGAAUUAUUUAGUAGAAGAAGAGGGGAAUGAAAGAAAGAAAACUAAAUUCAAGGCCCUAGUCAGAAGAUUUAUUCAAGGCCUAGCCAGAAGAUUUUCAGACUUAAAGCCAUAAAGAUAAGAAAGAUAAAGAAAGGCACGCAAGGACAAUCUCCAGACAAGCUCAGAUGAGUAAUGGACCACCUGGCCUGGUCUCCUUCUGAUAAAGUUUGAGUUUGACCAGAUGCUCUGCCAACAAAGAUAAACACCCUCCCUUUAGAGUUACUGUCACAUACUGCUUGCUGAUGUUUAAACUGCCCAAUUGUGUGUAACUUCGCCAAUUUCCCCUAUUCCCUCCCACACACUCCUUUCCUAUAUAAACCCCUAACUUUUGAGCCUUAGGGUUGACUCCUCUGUCUCCCGUGUGAGAUACGUGUAGGCCCGGAGCUCCAUCAUUAAACUGCCUGUGUGUUUGCAUCAA
This is a long non-coding RNA of Mus musculus (house mouse), 4439 nucleotides long. RefSeq annotates it as cDNA sequence BC040756. NCBI's taxonomy places the organism in Eukaryota, Metazoa, Chordata, Mammalia, Rodentia, Muridae. The transcript is spliced from 3 exons. The record is from RefSeq and is a predicted model, not a curated record.